AACGCACCUUGCGCUCCUUGGUAUUCCGAGGAGCAUGCCUGUUUGAGUGUCAUUAAAUUCUCAACCUCACCAACUUUGGUUGUGUGAAGGCUUGGAUGUGGGGGUUGCAGGUCCGCUUUGGUGGUCUGCUCCUCUAAAAUGUAUUAGUGGGUUAGUCCCCUAAUCUAUUGGUGUGAUAAUUAUCUACGCCGUGGAUUGGGAUGGCUAUAUAGACUCGCUUCUAACCGUCCUCAUGGACAACUUUGACAAUUUUGACCUCAAAUCAGGUAAGACUACCCGCUGAACUUAA
RNAcentral lists this unclassified non-coding RNA (289 nucleotides) under uncultured Coprinopsis. Its description in RNAcentral is "sequence contains ITS2". The stretch from base 1 to 52 matches the Rfam family "5.8S ribosomal RNA", at positions 103 to 154 of the family's 154-position model. Lineage: Eukaryota; Fungi; Basidiomycota; Agaricomycetes; Agaricales; Psathyrellaceae. The record is from RNAcentral.